Long non-coding RNA from Triticum dicoccoides, 3574 nucleotides. RefSeq lists it as uncharacterized. Lineage: Eukaryota; Viridiplantae; Streptophyta; Magnoliopsida; Poales; Poaceae. The transcript is spliced from 3 exons. The record is from RefSeq and is a predicted model, not a curated record.
CCCAUCCUCUCCCGUCCUGCUCCACACCAGCCGCCACACAACCCUAGCCCAUUACCCAUCGAUCCCCACAGCCCCUCCCUCCGCCUCGCUACUGGCCAUGGCCUCCGCCCUAGGAGCCUCUCCGUGGCCUCCUACUCCCCCUACACUACCGUACGUGCACACAGACGGCGGUGCCGGAGAAGAGCAGCUCCAGUCAUGGUGGGGUGCGGCUGCGACGGAGAUGAAGGAGGUCCGCCGCCCGCCUUUGUCUCCUUGCUGCUCUUUGUUGCCGAUCCUCCUCUCUCCCUUCACCCCUAGCAGCGCAACAGCUGGGGACAAGGGGAAGGAGCAGGUCGACCCGACCUCAUCUCUAUGCACGAGGACUAGAGGAGCAGGUAGCGAGGGAAACCGGCAUGGCCAGCGGCAGCGCUGCACAGGGACGUCCGCCUCCGGUUUUCUGUCAUGUGUCCCGAUCCCCUUUCGUUUAGGAGAAUGUCGAUGUUAAAUCAUUUAGUUUUGAUGGAUCAUAUUAUUGGUUCUUUGUUCAACUGAAGAUUUCUCCAGAUAGGACUAAGGUGAGUUGAGUUGUGGCUUGGUUGGAGAUGUUGAUGAUAUUUGAGACGCCCGCUGGAUUCACCCUUUUCGAGGAUCUGAACAAGGGCAAGCUCGACAAGGUCGAGGUGAGUGCUCGCCACAAUCUCAGCUCUUGGUUUGGUUUGGAUUACUCAUGUUUUUUCUUUGAAGGCAAAAUACUUAGUAUGUGAUCUAUCUAUCACAUUAUAAUUGAGUAAGUCCAGAAAAGCCCUUUAUUUGGAUGAGUAAGAAUCUAUGGUGUGCUCCUAAGCUAUGUGUCCCUUUUCCAAAUGUUAGAAAGAAAAAACUUCUAAACAGCAAGGAGCACUCCACAACGAAACUCACUUAAACUGGCUGAUAGAUGAUACCCGUUUUUGAGCCUAUUUGCUCAAAAUAAUGAGAGGCUGAAUGAUUCAAACACAUGCCAACCAUCUUUCUCACCUCGGCAUUUUGUUACACUUGAUUACUAAUUCUUCAAGGAAUUGUUCCACGUUCGCCUAUUUCCCCAAACUGUAUGUAUGCAUUUCUCGCAAAGGAAACGAAUUUAAACCCUCUUCAAAAAAAUAUGGAUUGUCAUAAGGUUGAAAAAAAUGCAUCUGUUAUCCUGUAAGCACAUGAAUAGAAAGGCAAAAUGAAAGGUCAUUCAGUAGUGGAUAAUUUUACCUUGUUAGCCUAGACAACACUACAGGUACUAUGCAAUUGCUGACCUAUAUAUCCCAGGACAGGGUAUACAGAUAGCUCCUGACCUUGCCAGAGGGUAAGUAGUUCAUUUGGUUAAUCUGUUUUGCAUCAUUUAUUGGGACUGAUGAUCGGUACUUGCUGUCUAAAUGCAGUACACGCGCAUUGUAGCAAUAAGUUGUUAAUUAUCCCUUUAUAUUCAAUUCGAUCUCUGAUAAAUCAAGAAGUUGGCACUUGUCAGUAAGUUCAGUAUAUCAUCUUCUGUUUUGACAUAAUAUAUCAUGGUCAAAGAAUACAAAUAUUUUGCAAGUAGAAAAAGCAUACAAAUAUUAAUUCUCUGUAAAAAGAUGAAAUGUUCAGAUAUAUCAAUGCUUUCACUUCACUUGUCAUGCUUUUAUGAACUAUAUUUUUUGCAUAAUUGUUAUAUCAGAAUCGAAUUAAUCCAUCUGAUGCUCGACUGUAUCGAGUACAUUCCUUAUGUCAUUUUCACAGAUAAAUUAAUUUGUUUCAAGUAUUGCUUUUUUGCCAUAUCAACAUGAAGAGUUGUCAUAUAUUGGCUUGUUAAAUUUAUUAGGUGCCAAGUUCAGUUCCAUAUUCUUAAUUUUGUUUCUUCUGAUUUUGGUGUUGGUGUUUGUAUUGUAACUGAAAAUAUGCUCACAUUUUUUUGAAAUAUGUGUAUGCCAUUAACUGAUGUCACUGUGUUUUCCAGGGGUAUAUGGACCACAAAUGAUGUGAUAUACUUGGUUAUUUCAACAUGAGUAUGGCUCAGUAGGAAGGUCAACCGUGGGGAGGUGCAACAUAGUGCAGCCUCAGCGAAUUAGGUGUCCUGUUUCUUUGCCCAUUGCUUCUAUGGAACUCUUUUGUUUGGCUUAUGAAGGCACAUUCAUCUUGCAAGUACAAUCAUGAUUAAGAGUUAGAACGCCCCUGCACAUUGGUUUACUUUCUUACACUGCUUGGUGUUUCUUCUGCCUUAUAUAAUACGCCUUCUCACAUAAUAGUUUGGUAAAGAAAGAGUGAACUCACUACUAAAUUUUGCACUAAUUAUAUACUUAUUUCACUAUUAAUAAUGUGUAUUCGCUAUAUCUUCUCUCAUGAGUUCGUCAAAUUCCUUUCUCAACAUGCUUAGAUGCUUUUUUGUCGGAAAUUUUGGGCAACAUCAGAAGUAAUGGUCGAUCGGUUUAGCCUUUGUGUCAGUUUCAUAUGUAUAUAUGUCAUUGGCCUAGCUAACAUUGUGUGUCAGUAAUUUAUGCUUUCUUUCUUUGGAAUAAUUAUGCCUAGCUGGAAAUAGAGAGGAGUCAGGUACCUGCGUGUUACUGCUCUUUUUGUGGUCUAAAGUGUUCCUUAAGCUAAACCAGUAACCUGACAAUAUUUUGUGUUUAACUAAUAUCAUUCUUAUCACAGUGAGUAGAGUACUAUAUUAUUCAGUGAACAUCCUUUUUUUGGAAGAGGCGUGAAAGUGUAGAGGAUAGAAAUGGUAAAUGAAUGGGUGUUCUCUUUUUACACAAGCAUUCUCCGCCUGAUCUUGCUAUUGAUGCAUAUCCUUAUGUCAUUGGUAUUCUUCUGAUUUGCAUUGAUUAUAGGAAGCAAGCAUAUGCAUGAGUUGAAAUUGUUCUACUGAUUCCUCGAUGCUCUGUUCAUGGCUUUGUUCUUAUUUUAUCCUUCUUUCUUUGCUUUGUUCUUUCCUACAAGAAGAUGUCGAGUUGUGUAAUAUGUUCAAAGAAGAGAGAAUCUGCAUUUUAUGAAUGCUUUCUUCUUUCUUCAUUGUUACCUCAAGUUAGUGGAUUUAGUUAAGUUUUACUGAGCAACUUCAUACGCAUGGUUUCUCCAUCUACACAUCUUAUUCAGUCAUGAGGCCAUUAAGAUCUUUUGCCUUUUAGAAAAAGGGAGAUGCCAUUUAGACCUUAUUCUCUCCAACUUGAUCGUUAACUUGCUACUACUAUUUCUACGCAUUUUCCAAAUCACUAUUUUAUUUGCUACAGAGAAUGAGGUCACCUUACUCAGUGAAUAUUCCAACUAAAAAAUUAGAAACCGUGCAAUUAGUUUCACUCUUAAAUUUUGUACAGUAGUCCAGAUUACCCAAUAAAUCAUUUGUCAAUAGGGUCAAAUUAUUUAAGUUGAAUCAGUUGUUCCAAAUUACCCAUUCCAAAUGUUGUACAACACAGUGAAGUUGUUCCAAUCAUAGAUGUUGAGACAAAAUAUCCUUUAUCUGGAACCAUUUACGUAAAUAACUAACAUUAAAAGAAACAACUAUUUAUGGUUAGCGCAUUCAAGGAUUUAUCAUUCGUUCAGAUCCUAGAGGAAGACAUUGGGAAGAUCGUAUGUUCAGAUCCUUAAUGCAUAUUAA